UACUUAGGGAUCUGUCCUGGAGAGGGGGAUAACCAUUGGAAACGAUGGCUAAUACCGCAUAACGUCUACGGACCAAAGGGGGCUUUCGGGCUCUCACUCUGGGAGGAACCUAAGCGAGAUUAGCUAGUUGGUGGGGUAAAGGCUCACCAAGGCGACGAUCUCUAGCUGUUCUGAGAGGAAGAUCAGCCACACUGGGACUGAGACACGGCCCAGACUCCUACGGGAGGCAGCAGUGGGGAAUAUUGCACAAUGGGGGAAACCCUGAUGCAGCCAUGCCGCGUGUGUGAAGAAGGCCUUCGG
Molecule: ribosomal RNA, 300 nt
Filed under: uncultured Glaciecola sp.
Lineage: Bacteria; Pseudomonadati; Pseudomonadota; Gammaproteobacteria; Alteromonadales; Alteromonadaceae
Description: bacterial SSU rRNA
Rfam family: Bacterial small subunit ribosomal RNA
Source: RNAcentral